RNAcentral lists this ribosomal RNA (419 nucleotides) under Prevotella corporis. RNAcentral describes it as "bacterial SSU rRNA". It matches the Rfam family "Bacterial small subunit ribosomal RNA", at positions 1 to 408 of the family's 1533-position model. The record is from RNAcentral. Lineage: Bacteria; Pseudomonadati; Bacteroidota; Bacteroidia; Bacteroidales; Prevotellaceae.
UACAAUGGAGAGUUUGAUCCUGGCUCAGGAUGAACGCUAGCUACAGGCUUAACACAUGCAAGUCGAGGGGAAACGGCAUUAAGUGCUUGCACUUUUUGGACGUCGACCGGCGCACGGGUGAGUAACGCGUAUCCAACCUGCCCCUUACCAGGGAAUAACCCGUUGAAAGACGGACUAAUGCCCUAUGCAGUCCUUUGACGGCAUCAGAUUAGGACUAAAGAUUCAUCGGUAUGGGAUGGGGAUGCGUCUGAUUAGCUUGUUGGCGGGGUAACGGCCCACCAAGGCAUCGAUCAGUAGGGGUUCUGAGAGGAAGGUCCCCCACAUAGGAACUGAGACACGGUCCUAACUCCUACGGGAGGCAGCAGUGAGGAAUAUUGGUCAAUGGGCGGUAGCCUGAACCAGCCAAGUAGCGUGCAGGA